AUGCGGGAAGCCCGGGCGGGGCCGCCGCCGCCCGCCGCCCCCCGCCCCGCCCCGAGCCGGGACCCCCACCGCCCCACCAGGGGCUCCACCCCUUCCGCCCCCAGCCCCGCUCCGGCUCGCGCGCGCAGGUGGGCGCGGGGGCGGCACUGCGGAGGCGCAGCCUGGCCCGCCCGCCGCCCGCACCCGCCCGGUCCGCAGCCGCGUGCCCGCGCCUCCCGCUCGCGGACCCUUCCCCUCUCGCUUCUGGCCUCAGACACGUUCCCCGCUCCAGCCCCGGGUCCGAGCCUCCUCCGCGGGGAGCGCGCUGCCGCGGCGGCCGGGAGACACCGGCCUGGAGCGCCCCGCACCCCCGCCCGCCAGCCCGCCACGGGGUCCGCGCCCACCCCGCCCGCAGCGCCUCCGAGCCCCAGGCUGGGGGGCCUGCGGGUGGGCGAGUUCGCGCCCCCCCCCCCGCUCCGGGGCCGGCGGCUGGGUGCCCGCACCCGCAGCCCCCCCGGGGAGCCCCCGCGUCCCCGCCCGCCCGCCGGGCUGUGCCGCCCAGGCCGCCCCUGCCCUCCCGCGCCGGCUGUGCCCCGCAGGCGCCGGCCGUGCCCCGGGGAAAGUUUGCGCUCGCGGCCGCCCCGGAGCCCCGCCGGCUCCCCGCCUCCCCUCCCGGGCCGCGCGGCUCGCCGCUCCCGAGCCCCGAGGGGAGGUGCUCGCCGGGCCGAGGCCGCCCUCCUUCUCUGCCUUCCACGCAUCUCCCUACCCGGCAGCCGGGGCGGCGAGCCGUCGCGGGGAGCCUCCUCCUCCCCUCCUGCCCCCGCUCCCGCGCAGCUGGCAGGCGCGCAAGGCCGGUGCGCGUCACCGCCCGGUUCUCCGCGGCCGAGCCGCCCCGCGCGCCCCGCGCGCCCCGGCCCACCGCGCCCCACGCCCCGCGCGCCCCAGGCCCUCGCGCCGCCCCUGCGGACCCGCGCCCCGGGCUCUAGCGCGCUCGCCCUCACCUCUCCCGAGCGCCACAUGUCGUCUCCGGGCUGGAGGGACUGUCCUCUGCAGAGGCGCUCCGGCAGAGGCCGCCAGACUCUCAUCGAAUGCGCCCUCGGGCCGGCUCGGCGGAGGGGGCGGGCUCAGGGCUCCCGGCCCGCGGCCCGGCCUGCGGUGGGAUGGGCGGUCCUCAAGUUUCCCGACGGCCUUGGGGAGCAGGUUCCGGGCCUCCCGGAACCACCGCGGGUUCCCUCCCACGCGGCAGAGGGGGACCGAUGGUGCCCGCACAGCGGCAGCCGGAGGCCGGGUCUCCGAGGUUUUUCCUUGGCUCCAAGCCUAAGCGCCUCCCUAGCCUGCUGUCCCUCCUCAGCCCUCAACACACACCUCUGUGUCCUCAUCUCCUGUGCUCUUUAG
This 1374-nucleotide long non-coding RNA is filed under the name Canis lupus dingo (dingo). Its description in RNAcentral is "lncRNA (ENSCAFG00020024188.1)". Lineage: Eukaryota; Metazoa; Chordata; Mammalia; Carnivora; Canidae. The record is from RNAcentral.